AGUGAACGCUGGCGGCAGGCCUAACACAUGCAAGUCGAACGGCAGCACAAGAGAGCUUGCUCUCUGGGUGGCGAGUGGCGGACGGGUGAGGAAUGCAUCGGAAUCUGCCCAUUUGUGGGGGAUAACCUCGGGAAACCGGGACUAAUACCGCAUACGACCUCCGGGUGAAAGCAGGGGAUCUUCGGACCUUGCGCAGAUGGAUGAGCCGCUGCCGGAUUAGCUAGUUGGAGGGGUAAAGGCCCACCAAGGCGACGAUCCGUAGCUGGUCUGAGAGGAUGAUCAGCCACACUGGGACUGAGACACGGCCCAGACUCCUACGGGAGGCAGCAGUGGGGAAUAUUGGACAAUGGGCGCAAGCCUGAUCCAGCCAUGCCGCGUGUGUGAAGAAGGCCUUCGGGUUGUAAAGCACUUUUGUUGGGAAAGAAAAGCAGCCGGUUAAUACCCGGUUGUCAUGACGGUACCCAAAGAAUAAGCACCGGCUAACUUCGUG
This 490-nucleotide ribosomal RNA is filed under the name uncultured bacterium. RNAcentral's name for it is "partial 16S ribosomal RNA". It matches the Rfam family "Bacterial small subunit ribosomal RNA", at positions 29 to 507 of the family's 1533-position model. The record is from RNAcentral.